UACAGAGGUCUCAAGCGUUGUUCGGAUUCAUUGGGCGUAAAGGGUGCGUAGGUGGCGCUGUAAGUCGGGUGUGAAAUUUCGGAGCUUAACUCCGAAACUGCAUUCGAUACUGCGGUGCUUGAGGACUGGAGAGGAGACUGGAAUUCAUGGUGUAGCAGUGAAAUGCGUAGAGAUCAUGAGGAAGACCAGUGGCGAAGGCGGGUCUCUGGACAGUUUCUGACACUGAGGCGCGACAGCGUGGGGAGCAAACAGG
RNAcentral lists this ribosomal RNA (253 nucleotides) under uncultured bacterium. RNAcentral describes it as "partial 16S ribosomal RNA". It matches the Rfam family "Bacterial small subunit ribosomal RNA", at positions 524 to 776 of the family's 1533-position model. The record is from RNAcentral.